UACGAAGGGGGCUAGCGUUGUUCGGAAUUACUGGGCGUAAAGCGCACGUAGGCGGAUAUUUAAGUCAGGGGUGAAAUCCCAGAGCUCAACCCCGGAAUGGCCUUCGAGACUGGUGGUCUUGAGUUCGAGAGAGGUGAGUGGAAUUCCGAGUGUAGAGGUGAAAUUCGUAGAUAUUCGGAGGAACACCAGUGGCGAAGGCGGCUCACUGGCUCGACACUGACGCUGAGGUGCGAAAGCGUGGGGAGCAAACAGG
Molecule: ribosomal RNA, 253 nt
Filed under: uncultured bacterium
Lineage: Bacteria
Description: partial 16S ribosomal RNA
Rfam family: Bacterial small subunit ribosomal RNA
Source: RNAcentral